CUUUGCUGAUACACAGAGAUGUGCCCAUGGUUGCCCCCUGCUGGACGAUGCCUAUAAUGAUGCUUACAGCACGGCGCUGAUGUGCAGGAUCCCACAUGAAAAAAGCUGGUUGUCAGGGGCAAGAAGAGGAUUGAAUGGAGACUGGCCAAUCAGAGGCAAAGAGCACAGCUGGCCUGAAUCCCAUCCCUGGGGAAGAGAGGAGAGAGGAAGGUCCUCAUGGAGGUACUUCCAGAUAUUUGCCAGGUUUUUUGGAUGCCCAGCAUCUGGAACUUUCUCCCACAUGAGUCUGGAGGGAGGCAGAAGGCACAUUCCACUAUAAAAGCCAAAAUGGCCGCAUGCUGAAUUCCCACCUCCUUGCUCCAGCGCAUGGUGCGGGCACAUGGCAUGGACCAGACCGACCAGAUGUGCCCAUCCAGACUGUGAUCAGAAGCCAGUGGCCCUGGGGCUUCCCUGCUGGUGCAGUGGUUAAGAAUCCGCCUGC
Long non-coding RNA from Lagenorhynchus albirostris (white-beaked dolphin), 481 nucleotides. RefSeq lists it as uncharacterized. The transcript has 3 exons. The record is from RefSeq and is a predicted model, not a curated record. NCBI's taxonomy places the organism in Eukaryota, Metazoa, Chordata, Mammalia, Artiodactyla, Delphinidae.